This 46-nucleotide non-coding RNA is filed under the name Tryblionella compressa. Lineage: Eukaryota; Bacillariophyta; Bacillariophyceae; Bacillariales; Bacillariaceae. The record is from RNAcentral.
AAGGGAAGCAAAUCCAGCAGUGGCAAGGGGACCAAGAGUGGUGGCG